GGAUGUGCCUGGCAUCAGAGGAGGAAAAGCUUAAUCAGCAGCCCUCAUUUACAUCCUCCUUGUUUAAGAGCCAAAAAAGAUCCCACCCAGGUUUUCUACUGGUUUUCUACUGGGCAGGAGAUUGACUGGCUUUAAACCACAGUGGAGCUUCCAUGGAAAUUAUCCUUGACGACAGUAACUGACUGUGAGUAGUUGCAGACCUGGUCCCAUCUUCAAAGCAACCAUUUCAAAGGCAACAGGAUCCCAAGUUCAUUGCACGCAGUCCCAAUAAUUUUGGUGGUGCCGUGGUCUGCGCCCUGUUUCCUCUAAUGUGACAUUACCCUCUUCAGACUUUACAUUCUUCUCCACGUACCUUUGGCAAAGCAGCUGUAUCUGUAACUGACGGGAAGGUUCGGUUGGAUCUGAAGCUGGAAACAAACAAUCGGUGUUAAGUGAAAGCUUCCCUGCACUUUGAUUUGAAUGUGUAUAACUUUCAAGCCUUUCAAGUGACAACCUACCCAAAAC
This is a long non-coding RNA of Oreochromis aureus, 504 nucleotides long. RefSeq lists it as uncharacterized. Lineage: Eukaryota; Metazoa; Chordata; Actinopteri; Cichliformes; Cichlidae. The record is from RefSeq and is a predicted model, not a curated record. The transcript is spliced from 3 exons.